Long non-coding RNA from Manacus vitellinus (golden-collared manakin), 612 nucleotides. RefSeq lists it as uncharacterized. NCBI's taxonomy places the organism in Eukaryota, Metazoa, Chordata, Aves, Passeriformes, Pipridae. The transcript has 3 exons. The record is from RefSeq and is a predicted model, not a curated record.
UCCCUGAUGUCCAUUCACUGGCCUGAAUUCCUUGCAGCUCCCAGCUGGGGAAACCUGGGAGAACAUGGCAGGGACAGAGGUGACAUUUGUAGCUGCAAACUUGGGAUAAUUUCAAGGGGACCCAGCAACUGUUUCUGAAGGAAAAGAUGCUGGAAUUGCCUCUCUGGAUGUGUGCUGAGCUCUGGCUGCAGGGGACUGUCAGGCCUUGGUGGCUCCUCCUUGCAGCCCCCAGCCAGGAAAACCUGGGAUAACUUAGCUGGGACAGAGGUAACAUCUUAGCUGCAAACUUGGGGUAAUUUCUAGUGGAUACAGCCACUGUUUUUGUAGGGAAGUGUGUUUAACCACAUUGGCCUAAGUUGUGUUUGCACCAGCUGGAGCCAGAGGUGCCAGGCAAUCCAAAGCAAACCCUGCUCAGCCUCUAAAUCUCAGGGGAAGUUCUCCAAGCUGCUCAUUGAGGGACUAAAGAUACAUUGAAAUCGAACCACGUGCACUAAUAAGGAAACUGGGAAUCCCAGUAGUGUUGUCCUAGAACUUUUAACAGCUUUUUAAGCUUUUUAUGACAAGAAUGGCUUUCUUCCUUUGAUUGAAUUCUGCAGUAGGAUUUGGGGUUUC